UUAAGCGACUAAGCGUACACGGUGGAUGCCCUGGCAGUCAGAGGCGAUGAAGGACGUGCUAAUCUGCGAUAAGCGUCGGUAAGGUGAUAUGAACCGUUAUAACCGGCGAUUUCCGAAUGGGGAAACCCAGUGUGAUUCGUCACACUAUCAUUAACUGAAUCCAUAGGUUAAUGAGGCGAACCGGGGGAACUGAAACAUCUAAGUACCCCGAGGAAAAGAAAUCAACCGAGAUUCCCCCAGUAGCGGCGAGCGAACGGGGAGGAGCCCAGAGCCUGAAUCAGUGUGUGUGUUAGUGGAAGCGUCUGGAAAGGCGCGCGAUACAGGGUGACAGCCCCGUACACAAAGAUGCACAUGCUGUGAGCUCGAUGAGUAGGGCGGGACACGUGGUAUCCUGUCUGAAUAUGGGGGGACCAUCCUCCAAGGCUAAAUACUCCUGACUGACCGAUAGUGAACCAGUACCGUGAGGGAAAGGCGAAAAGAACCCCGGCGAGGGGAGUGAAAAAGAACCUGAAACCGUGUACGUACAAGCAGUGGGAGCACAGAGCAAUCUGUGUGACUGCGUACCUUUUGUAUAAUGGGUCAGCGACUUAUAUUCUGUAGCAAGGUUAACCGAAUAGGGGAGCCGAAGGGAAACCGAGUCUUAACUGGGCGUUAAGUUGCAGGGUAUAGACCCGAAACCCGGUGAUCUAGCCAUGGGCAGGUUGAAGGUUGGGUAACACUAACUGGAGGACCGAACCGACUAAUGUUGAAAAAUUAGCGGAUGACUUGUGGCUGGGGGUGAAAGGCCAAUCAAACCGGGAGAUAGCUGGUUCUCCCCGAAAGCUAUUUAGGUAGCGCCUCGUGAAUUCAUCUCCGGGGGUAGAGCACUGUUUCGGCAAGGGGGUCAUCCCGACUUACCAACCCGAUGCAAACUGCGAAUACCGGAGAAUGUUAUCACGGGAGACACACGGCGGGUGCUAACGUCCGUCGUGAAGAGGGAAACAACCCAGACCGCCAGCUAAGGUCCCAAAGUCAUGGUUAAGUGGGAAACGAUGUGGGAAGGCCCAGACAGCCAGGAUGUUGGCUUAGAAGCAGCCAUCAUUUAAAGAAAGCGUAAUAGCUCACUGGUCGAGUCGGCCUGCGCGGAAGAUGUAACGGGGCUAAACCAUGCACCGAAGCUGCGGCAGCGACACUGUGUGUUGUUGGGUAGGGGAGCGUUCUGUAAGCCUGUGAAGGUGUCUGUGAGGAUGCUGGAGGUAUCAGAAGUGCGAAUGCUGACAUAAGUAACGAUAAAGCGGGUGAAAAGCCCGCUCGCCGGAAGACCAAGGGUUCCUGUCCAACGUUAAUCGGGGCAGGGUGAGUCGACCCCUAAGGCGAGGCCGAAAGGCGUAGUCGAUGGGAAACAGGUUAAUAUUCCUGUACUUGGUGUUACUGCGAAGGGGGGACGGAGAAGGCUAUGUUGGCCGGGCGACGGUUGUCCCGGUUUAAGCGUGUAGGCUGGUUUUCCAGGCAAAUCCGGAAAAUCAAGGCUGAGGCGUGAUGACGAGGCACUACGGUGCUGAAGCAACAAAUGCCCUGCUUCCAGGAAAAGCCUCUAAGCAUCAGGUAACAUCAAAUCGUACCCCAAACCGACACAGGUGGUCAGGUAGAGAAUACCAAGGCGCUUGAGAGAACUCGGGUGAAGGAACUAGGCAAAAUGGUGCCGUAACUUCGGGAGAAGGCACGCUGAUAUGUAGGUGAAGUCCCUCGCGGAUGGAGCUGAAAUCAGUCGAAGAUACCAGCUGGCUGCAACUGUUUAUUAAAAACACAGCACUGUGCAAACACGAAAGUGGACGUAUACGGUGUGACGCCUGCCCGGUGCCGGUAAGGUUAAUUGAUGGGGUCAGCGCAAGCGAAGCUCUUGAUCGAAGCCCCGGUAAACGGCGGCCGUAACUAUAACGGUCCUAAGGUAGCGAAAUUCCUUGUCGGGUAAGUUCCGACCUGCACGAAUGGCGUAAUGAUGGCCAGGCUGUCUCCACCCGAGACUCAGUGAAAUUGAACUCGCUGUGAAGAUGCAGUGUACCCGCGGCAAGACGGAAAGACCCCGUGAACCUUUACUAUAGCUUGACACUGAACAUUGAGCCUUGAUGUGUAGGAUAGGUGGGAGGCUUUGAAGUGUGGACGCCAGUCUGCAUGGAGCCGACCUUGAAAUACCACCCUUUAAUGUUUGAUGUUCUAACGUGGACCCGUGAUCCGGGUUGCGGACAGUGUCUGGUGGGUAGUUUGACUGGGGCGGUCUCCUCCUAAAGAGUAACGGAGGAGCACGAAGGUUGGCUAAUCCUGGUCGGACAUCAGGAGGUUAGUGCAAUGGCAUAAGCCAGCUUGACUGCGAGCGUGACGGCGCGAGCAGGUGCGAAAGCAGGUCAUAGUGAUCCGGUGGUUCUGAAUGGAAGGGCCAUCGCUCAACGGAUAAAAGGUACUCCGGGGAUAACAGGCUGAUACCGCCCAAGAGUUCAUAUCGACGGCGGUGUUUGGCACCUCGAUGUCGGCUCAUCACAUCCUGGGGCUGAAGUAGGUCCCAAGGGUAUGGCUGUUCGCCAUUUAAAGUGGUACGCGAGCUGGGUUUAGAACGUCGUGAGACAGUUCGGUCCCUAUCUGCCGUGGGCGCUGGAGAACUGAGGGGGGCUGCUCCUAGUACGAGAGGACCGGAGUGGACGCAUCACUGGUGUUCGGGUUGUCAUGCC
This 2702-nucleotide ribosomal RNA is filed under the name Escherichia coli B93. Its description in RNAcentral is "bacterial LSU rRNA". It matches the Rfam family "Bacterial large subunit ribosomal RNA". Lineage: Bacteria; Pseudomonadati; Pseudomonadota; Gammaproteobacteria; Enterobacterales; Enterobacteriaceae. The record is from RNAcentral.